UACGUAGGGACCGAGCGUUGUCCGGAAUCAUUGGGCGUAAAGAGCGUGUAGGCGGCUUGUUAAGUCUUGCGUGAAAUCUCGGGGCUCAACCCCGAGCGGUCGUGAGAAACUGGCAGGCUAGAGUGCGGGAGAGGAGAGUGGAAUUCCGAGUGUAGAGGUGAAAUUCGUAGAUAUUCGGAAGAACACCAGUGGCGAAGGCGACUCGCUGGACAAGUAUUGACGCUGAGGUGCGAAAGCGUGGGGAGCAAACAGG
RNAcentral lists this ribosomal RNA (253 nucleotides) under uncultured bacterium. RNAcentral's name for it is "partial 16S ribosomal RNA". It matches the Rfam family "Bacterial small subunit ribosomal RNA", at positions 524 to 776 of the family's 1533-position model. The record is from RNAcentral.